Molecule: transfer-messenger RNA, 77 nt
Filed under: Candidatus Cloacimonadota bacterium
Lineage: Bacteria; Pseudomonadati; Candidatus Cloacimonadota
Description: partial transfer-messenger RNA
Rfam family: transfer-messenger RNA
About the family: Bacterial tmRNA, also known as 10Sa RNA or SsrA, is named for its dual tRNA and mRNA-like properties. Its role is to liberate the mRNA from a stalled ribosome.
Source: RNAcentral
AAAAUCAUGUGAUACACCCGUAGAAGCUUUGGAGGAUAUGGUUUCGGACAGGGGUUCGACUCCCCUCGCCUCCACCA